Molecule: ribosomal RNA, 536 nt
Filed under: uncultured euryarchaeote
Lineage: Archaea; Methanobacteriati; Methanobacteriota
Description: partial 16S ribosomal RNA
Rfam family: Archaeal small subunit ribosomal RNA (bases 1-306)
Source: RNAcentral
UGUUGCUUUACACAUAUCACAGGAGACACGUGUGAUAAGGGGAUCUCGAGCGCCAGCAUAUAACUUUGGCUGUCCAGAUGCUUAAAAAGCAUUUGUUAGCAAGGCCGGGAAAGACCGUUGCCAGCCGCCCCGAAACACCGGCGCCCAAGGGGAAACCGUUAUUAUUUGGGCUAAAGGUCCGUACCCGGUUUGUUCGCCUUCCGGAAAACUGUCAGCUAAAUUAUAGCAUAUCGGGGAACUAGCAGACUGGAACGGGAGAGUAAGAGUACUAAAGGGUAGACGAAAUCUUGUAACCCUGUGGACCCCGGUGCGAAGCGCCUACCAGAAGGGUCCACAUUAGGCGAAACUGUGCGUCAACCGAUAGUGCCCGAGCCUUGCGUAACAUAUCGUUGAGCAGGCUGUGCACCUGAUGCGCGAUGAAGCGCGAGCAGCACUUGAAGUAUGUCGCAGGGAACUAAGGAUGGUUGCCAAGGACAUCCGUCAAGUCCAGGAAUGACGUAACGAGCUCAUUCAACUUCGCAUUCUGGCAGGUUGUU